Molecule: long non-coding RNA, 511 nt
Organism: Homo sapiens (human)
Lineage: Eukaryota; Metazoa; Chordata; Mammalia; Primates; Hominidae
Source: Ensembl
GGCUGAAAUAAUGAAAAUUCUAAUUAGGCUUUGCUUGCUUGCUGCACAAAAGCCAACAUCCCUUGUUUCCACAGUAUAAACUGCUGAUGUACUGUUUCUUUGCCAAGCAGGAGGAGGUGACUUCAGGGUCAUGAAAAAGAUUUGCAGAAGGAAUGGACAUGGCGACCAGCUGCUGAUACUCAAGGGUCUGGUUGCUCAAGAUGUUUUCUGAGACUGAAGACACACAGACUUUUCCCCUCGCUUCCCUGAAACUCCCCCUCCCUUAACUCUCUAGCCACAUAAAAAUUCCCCGCUUCUUUUUGUUUAGAGGGAUUUGAGAGAUCUUGCCUUCUCAUGUUGGCCAAAUUGAAGAAAGCUUUUUCUCCAAGCAGUUGUUUGCCAGUGUUUGGUGUUAACUGCACAUCAGGUUCAUAAUUUAUGGUGGAUAACUUAUAAGCAAAUAAUUAAAGAUCUACAAAAGUAAAUUCAUUGAUUGAUUGAAUUGGGUUGUGCACAAAAAAGGAAAAUAAAA